GACGAACGCUGGCGGCGUGCCUAAUACAUGCAAGUCGAACGCUUCUUUCCUCCCGAGUGCUUGCACUCAAUUGGAAAGAGGAGUGGCGGACGGGGGAGUAACACGUGGGUAACCUACCCAUCAGAGGGGGAUAACACUUGGAAACAGGUGCUAAUACCGCAUAACAGUUUAUGCCGCAUGGCAUAAGAGUGGAAGGCGCUUUCGGGUGUCGUUGAUGGAUGGACCCGCGGUGCAUUAGCUAGUUGGUGAGGUAACGGCUCACCAAGGCCACGAUGCAUAGCCGACCUCAGAGGGUGAUCGGCCACACUGGGACUGAGACACGGCCCAGACUCCUACGGGAGGCAGCAGUAGGGAAUCUUCGGCAAUGGACGAAAGUCUGACCGAGCAACGCCGCGUGAGUGAAGAAGGUUUUCGGAUCGUAAAACUCUGUUGUUAGAGAAGAACAAGGACGUUAGUAACUGAACGUCCCCUGACGGUAUCUAACCAGAAAGCCACGGCUAACUACGUG
This 508-nucleotide ribosomal RNA is filed under the name uncultured bacterium. RNAcentral describes it as "partial 16S ribosomal RNA". It matches the Rfam family "Bacterial small subunit ribosomal RNA", at positions 28 to 507 of the family's 1533-position model. The record is from RNAcentral.